CGAGGCCCUACAUCUGGUGAAAAUUCAUCCUCACGUAAAUAUUCACCAUUAGUAUAAUUCAAAUUAACUCCCUGGGGCCGAUAUGCGACUAUAGUCGUCAUAUUUUCUACCCCUGUAGCGUCGAUAUGCGACUAUAAGCGCGUUAUCUGGACUCCCCAGGACGGCGAUUGACGAGUAUAGUCGCGGCAUCGAGGUCAUGCUGAUUGCGUCACAUACUUGUUAAUUUUUGAUAAUACUGACAAAAGCAAAAUUAAUUUGCAUACUGGGAAUUAUUUCUUAGAUGUUGUAAUUAUUAAUUAUGUUAAUAAUUAAUUCCCUUGUUUAAAUAAAUGUUCGUAAUUAUGCGGUCAUGUUAAAGGGAAUAAAAAUAUGAACUCCGCUGUGUUUUGUUCAUACUUUAUUUGACUUUUCAAAAGAGUACAAUAAUGUCGUCUGCCAGUGAUCUUUCUGAAAAUGAAGAAAAUAAUUAUUCUGACUCUGACAUAUCAGUUCCGUCGGAUGAUGAUUCAGAUGAUGAAAUUCCGUUGAUUCAGUUAGCAGAACAUCAGAAAAAUGAAUGGUCGGAGAAUUUGCAUGGAAUUCGCACUCAGCAGUUUGAAGGAAAUCCUGGACCGACGUCAUUUUUAUCCGAGGACAAAUAUGAAAUUGACUUUUUUGAACAAAUCUUCAAACCAGAAAUAUAUGAGGACUUAGCCCGUGAAACAAACAUGUAUGCCGUACGGAAAAUGCGUGAAAAGCCGGACGAAAAAUGGCGCGAAGUGACUGUGGCUGACAUCAAGGCAUACAUUGGAUUUCAAAUCGUUAUGGGAGUGAUCAUAGCACCACGACUUGAUGACUAUUUUUCAACUGAUGAAAUGUUCGGAAUAUGUGGAAUCAAGCAUAGAAUUAAUCGUGAUAGAUUUGACAAAAUUAAUCAGUACUUUCAUGCCGCGGACACAUCGAUGAAUCCACCCAGAGGAGACGCCGGUCAUGACAAAAUCGCGCACGUGCGUCCUGUGCUUGAAAAAGUACGAACUUCACUGUCGUCUGCGUACCGGCCACACAGGGAGUCGACAAUUGACGAGGCAAUGGUUGCUUACACCGGAAGGCUUUCCAUCAAGCAGUAUGUCCCGAUGAAACCAACGAAGCGCGGGAUAAAAGUAUGGGUUCGGGCUGAUCCGCACAAUGGUUUAUCAACGACUUUCAGGUGUACCUUGGAAAGGAAAACAACACAGGAGAGUAUGGUCUUGGCGAAAGAGUAGUGUUGGACCUAACUAGAGACAUUUUAAAUCGCGGGCAUCAUAUUUACAUGGACAACUUUUUCACGUCGGUGAAGUUAUUUGAGAAGUUAGAGGAGAACGACACAUAUGCCUGUGGAACUGUUCGAGCUCAGAGACAAGGGGUACCACCGCAAAUACGGAAUGCUAAUAUAAAGAACCAAGGAGAGUCUGUGAUUAUGCAAAAACGAAAUAUGGUUGCCUUGACAUGGAAGGACAAGCGCCCUGUGAAUUUGCUGUCAACAAACACUGAUCCCCGACGGCAAACUACCGUUCUCCGACGUCAGAAAGAUGGUUCCCGUAUUGACGUGCCUUGUCCAGAAGUUGUGAAAAAUUACACAAAAUUCAUGAAUGGAGUAGAUCGCGCAGACCAGCUUAGGGCAUUAUACUCCUGUGGUAGAAAAGCAAGUAAAUGGUGGAAAUAUCUGUUUUGGUUCCUGGUGGAUAUUUCAAUUGUGUGUGGGUACAUUCUGAUGAAGGAAUCCCCUAAUCAUCAACGGAAGUCUCUAAACGGUAGACAAAAACAACUGUCUAUGGUUGACUAUCGCAAGUCGCUAGCAAAACAACUUAUUGGUAUCUACAUGGUCAGAAACAAACAAAAAGCUAUGAAAGAGAACACCUCAUAUGCCGACGGCUCGAAUUGCUGGGUAGCGGACAUGGGAAAGAAACGUCGGUGUGAACAUUGCAAGCCCCGUGGUAUUAGGCGCGAACCCCGAUUUGGAUGUGAAGCAUGCGGCGUGAACCUGUGUGUAGAGUGCUUCAAACCAUACCAUCUAGAACGAUUUCCGGACCGAUAUACUCGAUGAAAAUUGUGUACAACAUGAACCUUCAUUCAAAAUGUUUAAGUUUUAGAAGUUUGAAACAUUCAUAAACAUACAUAGACUACACAAACAAAUGGAUAAAAUUAAUACAACAAAAUAUUUUCCAUAAAAUAAAAAAAAACGUUUGUGAAUAAAGGCAUGUUUGUGAAUUUAAUAGUAUUUAAACUUAAGAUGGAUGUAAAUAUCGUAACUUUACUGGACUUUACACAUGCUCUUAGCGCGUGUCACACGUUCAUGUACAUAUUUAAAAAUAGAUUUUACAUCAAAAUAAACCAUCGAUAUACGCACAAAAACGGAUGUAAAUUUCAAGUAAUGCUGGUGCUAAUAUUCUGUGUUAAUAAUAUAUCUCUAUUUAUUGGAAUUUACCGUCUUUACAUGUGAAAAAAAUAAGAAAAUCAGAAAUGUAUAAAUAUUCAAUAAACGUAAUAGGUGUGUAAAAAUUGUGAAUAUUUCAAUGUGAAAAUAUUAUUCUAUGUGGAUAUAAGUUAUGGGCAAAAUAUGGAUAUAAAAAUGUUUGUUAAAACUUCGAAGAGUUUUAACCAGGUUCACAGACAGCACGUUGGAUGUGUGUAAUAGAUGGGUGACUUUGAACAGUGUCAGUGCGUUGUGUGUAUUGGUCUUGGUACAACCAGUUAGCCUGAUCCACAAUUGAAGAGGAUCAUCAUUCUUUGGGACAAUACUGUAUGGUACUUUGAUAACGUUGUGUUAGUGGAGUGAUGUACAUGCUUUGUUGAUACAUAUAAGACAUUGUUUGUUGUGUGAUCAAGCGGCCUGUUGAUAGAAUUACAGAUACAGCUUUAGUACAUCCCGGUCAUCGUAUGAGUCUGCAUCUCGUAAGAUAUCAGAAGCCGUCUGACUGGGCCACAUCGCUCGGAAGUCCGAAAUACUAGAAAAAAACCGGCAUCUGCUACCUUAAGACAUCUGUCAAUUUUUGUCUGCAUCUCGUAAGAUAUCAGAAGCCGUCUGACUGGGCCACAUCACUCAGAAGUCCGAAAUACUAGAAAAAAACCGGAAUCUGCUACCUAAGCCGAUUACAAACGUACAGAUUUCUGUAUCAAUACCCAUAACCCACCGCGCGAACACUAAUCUAACAAGAGCUGUCCGUAAGACAGCCAAGCUCGACUAUUCAAAAUAUUGUCCCAGAAGCAGGAAAAUAUUACCCAAAAAGGUUAAAUAUCAAAAGAUUUUUAAGUUCAAAAGGGGGAAUAAUUUGACCAAAAUGCAU
RNA transcript from Mercenaria mercenaria, 3302 nucleotides. It is a transcript of the gene named piggyBac transposable element-derived protein 4-like, with no coding region annotated. Lineage: Eukaryota; Metazoa; Mollusca; Bivalvia; Venerida; Veneridae. The transcript has 5 exons. The record is from RefSeq and is a predicted model, not a curated record.